ACUAUCAUUAUAGAAAUAAUAAAUUAUAAACAAGUUUAAUUGGUUCAUAUUUGUUUAAAAGAUUUCAAAAGUUUUAUUGUAGAUUUUCCAUCUGUCAACUCCGACAGGAAGUCCGAAAUUCAACAGCGUUGGACGAAAUCAAAUGUUAUAAGUAGGACUGUAAAACGCCAUUUGAAGCAUGUGAAGCUCCCCCAUCUGGUUUGAUUGCUGCUAGCCAGUUUUGUAUUCGUUUCGGUAAAUAUCUUAUUUAAUUCAUGCAACUAAGACUGAAUUUUGCAUUCCUUUGAACCACACUAGCUCUACUUAGCUUAUAGUGGCCAAGCGGACAUGCUAAAUUAAAAUUUAUUCUGAUCUACCGUUGUCUCCUUAUUUGGAACACAUGGAUUGAACCGAAUUAAAACAUUUGAUAGUAGUAACAUAAAGUAAUUGAUGUUGAAGGCACUGAGGCACACUGUGGAUAAUUUGUUGAAGAACCCUCACAUCGCUACCUGAAGUUGCAGAUUUCCUGGUGAAAUAAUUCUGUUUGGUGUAUUUUAUAGUAUCUAUAUUGACAAAUAAACAAUUUUUAAAAUUA
Daphnia pulex (common water flea) is the source of this 574-nucleotide long non-coding RNA. RefSeq lists it as uncharacterized. Lineage: Eukaryota; Metazoa; Arthropoda; Branchiopoda; Diplostraca; Daphniidae. The transcript has 2 exons. The record is from RefSeq and is a predicted model, not a curated record.